GAUGAAGAACGUAGUGAAAUGCGAUAAGUAAUGUGAAUUGCAGAAUUCAGUGAAUCAUCGAAUCUUUGAACGCACAUUGCGCCCGCCAGUAUUCUGGCGGGCAUGCCUGUUCGAGCGGCAUUUCAACCAUCAAGCCCCAGGCUUGUGUUGGAGCCCUGCGGCUGCCGCAGCCUCCCAAAACCAGUGGCGGGCUCGCUAUCACACCGAGUGCAGUAGUUUACUCUUCGCUCAGGGCGUGUGGCGGGUGCUAGCCGUAAAACCCCCAACUUCUCAAGGUUGACCUCGGAUCAGGUAGGAAUACCCGCUGAACUUAAGCAUAUCAAUAAGCGGAGGA
Molecule: unclassified non-coding RNA, 334 nt
Filed under: soil metagenome
Description: partial contains 5.8S ribosomal RNA, internal transcribed spacer 2, and large subunit ribosomal RNA
Rfam family: 5.8S ribosomal RNA (bases 1-120)
Source: RNAcentral